This 411-nucleotide ribosomal RNA is filed under the name Leptospira borgpetersenii serovar Ballum. RNAcentral describes it as "partial 23S ribosomal RNA". It matches the Rfam family "Bacterial large subunit ribosomal RNA", at positions 58 to 508 of the family's 2925-position model. Lineage: Bacteria; Pseudomonadati; Spirochaetota; Leptospiria; Leptospirales; Leptospiraceae. The record is from RNAcentral.
GUGCUAAUCUGCGAAAAGCGCCGGUAAGGGGAUAUGAACCGGUAUAACCGGCGAUGUCCGAAUGGGGAAACCCGGUGCACUUCGGUGCAUCAUCGUUAGCUGAAUACAUAGGCUAACGAGGCGAACCGGGGGAACUGAAACAUCUAAGUACCCCGAGGAAAAGAAAUCAACCGAGAUUCCCCCAGUAGCGGCGAGCGAACGGGGAACAGCCCAGAGCCUGAAUCAGCUUGUGUGUCAGUGGAACGGUCUGGAAAGGCCGGCGAUACAGGGUGACAGCCCCGUACACGAAGGCACACAGGUUGUGAGCUCGAUGAGUAGGGCGGGACACGUGAUAUCCUGUCUGAAGAUGGGGGGACCAUCCUCCAAGGCUAAAUACUCCUGACUGACCGAUAGUGAACCAGUACCGUGAGG